This 463-nucleotide ribosomal RNA is filed under the name uncultured bacterium. Its description in RNAcentral is "bacterial SSU rRNA". It matches the Rfam family "Bacterial small subunit ribosomal RNA", at positions 79 to 524 of the family's 1533-position model. The record is from RNAcentral.
ACCGCACUGACAUUUAGUAACCGGGCCGGGUGCUCCAGUGGGUAAUCUGCUCAAGCUGGGACAACCUGCCGAAAGGCUGGCUAAUACCAGAUAAGACUACGGGCUCCUCGGAGCCUGAAGGAAAAGGUGGCCUCUGUAUACAAGCUAUCACUUUGAGAUGAGCCCGCGGCCCAUCAGCUAGUUGGCGGGGUAAUGGCCCACCAAUGCAACGACGGGUAUCUGGUCUGAUAGGACGAUCAGCCACACUGGAACUGAGACACGGUCCAGACUCCUACGGGAGGCAUCAGUGGGGAAUUUUGCACAAUGGGCGAAAGCCUGAUGCAGCAACGCCGCGUGUGUGAUGAAUGUCUUCGGAUUGUAAAGUACUUUCGACCGGGACGAACACCCCUUGGCUAACAUCCAAUGGCCUGACGGUACCGGGAGAAGAAUCACCGGCUAACUCUGUGCCAGCAGCCGCGGUAAU